AGAGUUUGAUCCUGGCUCAGAUUGAACGCUGGCGGCAGGCCUAACACAUGCAAGUCGAGCGGCAGCGGGAAAGUAGCUUGCUACUUUUGCCGGCGAGCGGCGGACGGGUGAGUAAUGCCUGGGGAUCUGCCCAGUCGAGGGGGAUAACUACUGGAAACGGUAGCUAAUACCGCAUACGCCCUACGGGGGAAAGCAGGGGACCUUCGGGCCUUGCGCGAUUGGAUGAACCCAGGUGGGAUUAGCUAGUUGGUGAGGUAAUGGCUCACCAAGGCGACGAUCCCUAGCUGGUCUGAGAGGAUGAUCAGCCACACUGGAACUGAGACACGGUCCAGACUCCUACGGGAGGCAGCAGUGGGGAAUAUUGCACAAUGGGGGAAACCCUGAUGCAGCCAUGCCGCGUGUGUGAAGAAGGCCUUCGGGUUGUAAAGCACUUUCAGCGAGGAGGAAAGGUUGGUAGCUAAUAACUGCCAGCUGUGACGUACUCGCAGA
RNAcentral lists this ribosomal RNA (489 nucleotides) under Aeromonas sp. AKB-2008-HE130. RNAcentral's name for it is "bacterial SSU rRNA". It matches the Rfam family "Bacterial small subunit ribosomal RNA", at positions 8 to 485 of the family's 1533-position model. Lineage: Bacteria; Pseudomonadati; Pseudomonadota; Gammaproteobacteria; Aeromonadales; Aeromonadaceae. The record is from RNAcentral.